Molecule: ribosomal RNA, 403 nt
Filed under: uncultured bacterium
Lineage: Bacteria
Description: partial 16S ribosomal RNA
Rfam family: Bacterial small subunit ribosomal RNA
Source: RNAcentral
GACGAACGCUGGCGGCGUGCCUAAUACAUGCAAGUCGAACGCAGUGGGGCCGGGUGAGUAACACGUGGGUAACCUCCCAUCAGAGGGGAUAACACUUGGAAACAGGUGCUAAACCGAUACUGAUGGAUGGACCCGCGGUGCAUUAGCUAGUUGGUGAGGUAACGGCUCACCAAGGCCACGAUGCAUAGCCGACCUGAGAGGGUGAUCGGACACACUGGGACUGAGACACGGCCCAGACUCCUACGGGAGGCAGCAGUGGGGAAUCUUGGGCAAUGGACGAAAGCCUGACCGAGCAACGCCGCGUGAGUUAAGAAGGGCUUCGGAUUGUAAAGCUCUGUUGUUAGGGAGGCGGUAUCUAACCAGAAAGCCACGGCUAACUACGUGCCAGCCGCCGCGGUAAUAC